This 466-nucleotide ribosomal RNA is filed under the name uncultured bacterium. Its description in RNAcentral is "partial 16S ribosomal RNA". It matches the Rfam family "Bacterial small subunit ribosomal RNA", at positions 28 to 523 of the family's 1533-position model. The record is from RNAcentral.
GAUGAACGCUGGCGGCGUGCCUAACACAUGCAAGUCGAGCGAACCCUUCGGGGUGAGCGGCGGACGGGUGAGUAACGCGUGGGUAACCUGCCCUGUACACACGGAUAACAUACCGAAAGGUAUGCUAAUACGAGAUAAUAUAUUUUAAUCGCAUGGUUAAGAUAUCAAAGCUCCGGCGGUACAGGAUGGACCCGCGUCUGAUUAGCUAGUUGGUGAGGUAAUGGCUCACCAAGGCGGCGAUCAGUAGCCGACCUGAGAGGGUGAUCGGCCACACUGGAACGGGGGCACGGUCCAGACUCCUACGGGAGGCAGGCGUGGGGAACAUUGCACAAUGGGCGAAAGCCUGAUGCAGCAACGCCGCGUGAGCGAUGAAGGCCUUCGGGUCGUAAAGCUCUGUUCUCAAGGAAGAUAAUGACGGUACUUGAGGAGGAAGCCCCGGCUAACUACGUGCCAGCCGCCGCAGUAA